This is a long non-coding RNA of Syngnathus typhle (broad-nosed pipefish), 885 nucleotides long. RefSeq lists it as uncharacterized. The transcript is spliced from 3 exons. The record is from RefSeq and is a predicted model, not a curated record. NCBI's taxonomy places the organism in Eukaryota, Metazoa, Chordata, Actinopteri, Syngnathiformes, Syngnathidae.
CAGAAGACAGCGUAGCGGUCGGAUACCACUUUGGAAGCCGGGUCCUGAGCGCACACCCCGACGAUGAGGACGAGGAAAAACAGCAUUUCCACCUGCGGCAUAUUUGCAAUGAAGCCAAACCGACGACAGUCCUGCGUGCACGUUUAUAUUUGAAUGACGGUGGUCUCACUUACAAGAACAACAUCCCUUCUACGCGGGGGUGCAUCUCAGAUUCCCUGACGGAUCAUCUCGUAAACCUGGAGCCUCUUUUGACAGCCUGAUCCUCUUUGCACAACAAGAAGGUGCAUCUUUUAAAAGGUUCAACAAUCCCCCCCAAAAGAACUUUUUUUAUACAGUAUGUGCAAUUUUGUUUUCAAUCCCGAGCGACUAAACCAAGCACUUCAGAAAAUGUUCAUAUAUUUAUUGUUUAUCCCAUUGAGGGUUUAUCUUUUUCGCUUCGCUGCAUGCAACAUAUAGCUUUCAUAUGGAUGAAAUUUGACUGCAGCGCAUUUAUUUUGCUCCGCGACUCACUGCGCCACGCAGUGGUGACCAUGGAAACAGCAUCACGUACAAGAAUCCACAAGUUGCCCUGUGCAUAAAUUCACUUUCCCCACUGGAAUGGAUUCUCAGAUUUCAGUCAACCUUUGCUGAAUGUAAUGAUAAAUGAUGUUUUGUAAAAUACAUUAAAUUGUGAAAUACAACAAAUUUUGUUGAAUUGAUAUUUACUGACAAAAUGCCCAAUUUAAUUGAAGUCUAAACUGUGUGUAAAAAAUGGAUGGAUUCCAAUUGAUGGUUAAUAUAAUCCUCAACAGUGCCACUGACAGCUGCUUGUCAAAGGAGCCAACUUCUCUCCCAAAGAGAUUAUUCAUUCAACGUAAUAUUGGUAAUAAAUCACAUAUCCAUCUA